Molecule: ribosomal RNA, 432 nt
Filed under: uncultured bacterium
Lineage: Bacteria
Description: bacterial SSU rRNA
Rfam family: Bacterial small subunit ribosomal RNA
Source: RNAcentral
AAUCAACGCUGGCGGCGUGCCUAACACAUGCAAGUCGAACGCGAGAGGGGCUUCGGCCCUGAUUGAGUGGCAAACGGGUGAGUAACGCGUGGGUGACCUACCUUCGAGUGGGGGGAUAACGUUCCGAAAGGGACGCUAAUACCGCAUAACAUCCUGUCUUUGGACAGAUGGAGAUCAAAGCCGGGGAUCGUAAGACCUGGCGCUUGAGGAGGGGCCCGCGUCCGAUUAGCUAGUUGGUGGGAAUGGCUCACCAAGGCAACGAUCGGUAGCCGGCCUGAGAGGGCGGACGGCCACACUGGACUGAGACACGGCCCAGACUCCUACGGGAGGCAGCAGUGGGGAAUUGUUCGCAAUGGGCGCAAGCCUGACGACGCAACGCCGCGUGAAGGAUGAAGGUCUUCGGAUUGUAAACUUCUGUUGAUCGGGACGAAC